This 124-nucleotide small RNA is filed under the name Serratia marcescens. Its description in RNAcentral is "RtT sRNA". It matches the Rfam family "RtT RNA". From Rfam's summary of the family: This family represents a bacterial cis-regulatory element known as RtT RNA. Lineage: Bacteria; Pseudomonadati; Pseudomonadota; Gammaproteobacteria; Enterobacterales; Yersiniaceae. The record is from RNAcentral. RNAcentral also lists the same sequence under 7 other names.
CAAGGUGUUAAAUCGUCAGGAUGAGAACCGUAGAGGUUCGAGUCUCGCAAAGCGAGACAACAUCACCCCGGUGAUGGCCCGUUAGGGCGAGGCCAAAGGCCGAGUUAUCCUGCACGACCCACCA